This 627-nucleotide long non-coding RNA is filed under the name Zonotrichia albicollis (white-throated sparrow). RNAcentral describes it as "lncRNA (ENSZALG00000005076.1)". Lineage: Eukaryota; Metazoa; Chordata; Aves; Passeriformes; Passerellidae. The record is from RNAcentral.
CUCCCAAUUUUGGGGUGGUUUUGGGGUGGUUUCUCUCCCAAUUUUGGGGUAUUUCUCUCCCAGUUUUGGGGUAUUUCUCUGCCGUAUUUUGGGGACAUUUCGGGCUGUUUCUCUCCCAUUUUCGGGGCGGUGUUUUGGGUUAUUUCUCUCCGGUUUUGGGGGUGGUUUCUCUCCCAAUUUUGGGGUGGUUUUGGGGUGGUUUCUCUCCCAUUUUUGGGGUGGUUUUGGGGUGUUUUUCUGCCAUUUUUGGGGGGAAGUUUUGGGGUAGUUUGGUGCCAUUUUUGGGGCAUUUCUCUGCCAUAUUUUGGGGACAUUUCGGGCCGUUUCUCUCCCAUUUUUGGGGCGGUGUUUUGGGUUAUUUCUCUGCCAUUUCUGGGUGGUUUCUCUCCCAAUUUUGGGGCAUUUCUCUGCCAUAAUUUGGGGACAUUUCGGGCCGUUUCUCUCCCAUUUUCGGGGCGGUGUUUUGGGUCAUUUCUCUCCGGUUUUGGGGGUGGUUUUGGGGUAUUUCUCUGCCAUUUUCGGGGCGGUGUUUUGGGUUAUUUCUCCCCGGUUUUGGGGGUGGUUUCUCUCCCAAUUUUGGGGUAUUUCUCUCCCAUUUUCGGGGCGGUGUUUUGGGUCAUUUCUCCC